Molecule: long non-coding RNA, 2490 nt
Organism: Homo sapiens (human)
Lineage: Eukaryota; Metazoa; Chordata; Mammalia; Primates; Hominidae
Exons: 1
Source: RefSeq, marked validated
CAAAUCAAAUACUGGGCCCCCUUCAGCUAUUUAAAAAUGAUUAGUGUGGCUGGCAGCCUUACAAGACUUGGGGGACAGGCUUGCUGGGGAGAACAUUCUGAAGCAGUGGGAAUUUUUACAGUUCAAGGAAGUAAUCCUGUUAGGCAAGAUCAGGAAAUACCGUAGUAACUGAGGUAGAGCUCAAGGCAAUGCCAUUUUUGUGAUUUUCUAGGAACAGUGGGUCUUCCCCUCCUCUCCCCAUAGUGAGGUCUCUCUCUGCCCUUGGUCUGGAGAGCACAUGGCAUUUAAAGGUCAACGGCCCUACCCAGUGGCAUAGGAAUCCUCUCCAUGAGGCACAUUGUCAGCCCUUUGCCAAAACACUCUGGCUUCCCAAUUCUCCUCCCUUUUUGCACCCCUCUGCUGGACACCAGGCUUUAUGCUACUUCCAUAAAUGGGAAAACUCUGUCUUCAACAAUAAGGAGGAAAAUGUCCUCCAAAACCAAAUUUUAGUCUCAAUACUGUCCCAUCAGCAGGAAAAUAGCCAUUUGGUUCCUAUGUUUUUUUUAAGGCACCUAUUCUGCUUGUAAUUAAAAUAGUACUUAAAUAGUAAGGGUAAUUUAAGUCCGGAAGUUAACUGGAACCAUUCUCUAAGGGUACUUUAGCACGAGUCAUAAUAGCAGGAUAUAGAGCUCAAACCAGCACACUUCCUCCAUUAUGGAGGGAAAUACAACAGUUGCCUAAAUGCAACUGUUACAUAGUCUCUCCCAAGAUCCAUUUUUCAGGGAGCCACACAGGUCACACAAGUCUUGGAAGUCAAAAGGAAAUCAUAAGUGCAGGACUAGAGUCACAUGGGUAAGCAUGACUAACCCCAAUCACUUAGUUCCUCUGGUUCCAUGGCUGGGGGUCACACCUGCAACCAUGGGAGGCAUGUUUAACAAGAUGCUGGGACCCAGGAACCAAGGAGGGAAAACAGUAGGGGUGGCGCCCUCACUGUCUUCCCCUUCCCCUCCUCUGGAGUGCGUUCUGAAGCACUGGGACUCCUUUGACUCUGAGAUUUGGAAGAAAAAACAGCUCAUUUUCUUUUGCACAAGAGCAUGGCCUUCUUACUAGACCUUUGCAAGCAUUGCACAAUGGACUCAGCUCUUUCAGCAGUCAUAUCAGACAGGCCCAAAGGGAAUGAUUCCCCAAAACUAGAGAAACAAACUCCCAGGAACCCCUCAAAUGAAACUUCCAGAUGCCCUGGCCCUUCCUCCCUCCCUUUCACAUUGUCAGCUUCUCCAAUUCUACCACCCAAACCCCCAGACUUUUCUAUGGUAUUUUUCCUUCCUUCAUUCAUGAUUUAAAAUGGCUCCUAUCUCUUCUUCUAUAAUGUUCCUCCAAACUGGGAGAAGUUAAUUUCCUCAAACCUUAAAAUGCUUGGCUUAGGGUUGAGCUCGGGGAACAGAACCCAGAAGCCUGACAUGCUGUCAAAAGGGUAAAAAUUUUUAUUUUUAUUUUUAUUUAUUUAUUUUUUUUGAGACAGAGUCUCGCUCUGUUGUCCAGGCUGGAAUGCAGUGGUGCAAUCUCAACUCACUGCAGCCUCUGCCUCCCUGGUUCAAGUGAUUCUCCUGCCUCAGCCUCCUGAGUAGCUGGGACUACAGGCACGUGCCACCACACCCAGCUUGCUCCAUCAACACUGAAUAUUAGUGAUUGAGUUGUUGCCACUACUGGCACUCAGAAAAUUAUCCAGCUGUGGUGGUGUGCACCUGUAGUCCCAGCUACUCCAGAGGCUGAAGUAGGAGGAUCUCUUGAGCUCAGGAGGAGGUCAAGGCUGCAGUGAGCCAAGACCAUGCCACUGCACUACAGCCUGGGUGACAGAGCAAGACCCUGUCCCCCACCCCCCCCCCCAAAAAAAAACAAACAACAACAACAAAGAAAUAUAUUGAAAUAACUGGUAUCUUCAAUACAAUGUUGAAUAAGAGUGGACAUCAUUGGUUCCCAAUCUUAGGGCAAAACUUUCUGAUUUCAUCAUUAAGUAUAUUAGCUGUAGGUGUUUUGUGUAUGCCCUUUAAAAAUUAUUUUAUUUUUUGUAGAGAAGGGUCUUGCUAUGUUGCCCACACUGGUCUUGAACUCCUAGGCUCAAGCAAUCCGCCCAUCUUGUCCUCCCAAAGUCUGGGAUUAUAGGCAUGAGCUACUGCUCCUGGCCUAUGGAUGCCCUUUAUCAGUUUCAGGAAUUCCCUUCUAUUCCUAAUUGGCUGAGAGGUUUAUUUUCCUUUCAUGAAUAGGUAUUAAAUUUUGUCAAAUGCUUUUUCUGCAUCUAUUGAGAUGGUGAUAUGGGUUUUGUCUUAUAGCCUGUUAGUAUAGUAAAUUAUAUUGAUUGAUUUUAAAAUAUUAAGCCAACCUUGUAUUCCUGGGAUGAAACUAACUUGGUCAUGGUGCAUUAUUGUUUGUAUUUACUACUGUAUUCAUUUUGCUAAAUUUUAAAAGGAUUUUUGAAAAAAAUAAAGAGGAUUUUGUGUCUAGAUCCAUGAA